UGUUUUUUGUGUUUCUUUUUGUGUUUGAGCCAAGCAAAACUUUUAUGACUAGUCUUGGUGAGGGUUGUUUGAUCCUGCUGGAAAAAGACAGAAACUUUUCCCUCACGAGAUGAUUUUUAAUUUUUAUUCAGAAAGAGAUUUUGAGUUGACUCUUUUUUCUACUCGUUGAUAUGCCUUUUUCCCACGCAGUCGUAAGUUUUCAGAAUUUUUGAGGUACC
Molecule: long non-coding RNA, 218 nt
Filed under: Hordeum vulgare
Lineage: Eukaryota; Viridiplantae; Streptophyta; Magnoliopsida; Poales; Poaceae
Description: long non-coding RNA (HVUL_LNC006534)
Source: RNAcentral